Acipenser ruthenus (sterlet) is the source of this 3390-nucleotide long non-coding RNA. RefSeq lists it as uncharacterized. The record is from RefSeq and is a predicted model, not a curated record. The transcript has 4 exons. NCBI's taxonomy places the organism in Eukaryota, Metazoa, Chordata, Actinopteri, Acipenseriformes, Acipenseridae.
UUGUCCUAUAUAAUAAAUACAUAAAUCACAAAACAAACAAAUACAAAAUAACACACGGGCGGAGGGGGAAACCCUGUUCUAAAAAUAAACAAACAGAACACUGUACAGGGCUCCUUGCCCUGUUACACUUUCCCAUUCCUUUUAGUCAGUUCCUCUAUAAAGGAAUCCUGCUGUCUUUGUUUUUCAAGCCCAGAAAAGAAUGUAAUGCUUUUCUCUCCCUCCACCACAUGUCUGGCUUUGGAUCUUAGUAUUGCCCCCUCACAGCGCUCGUUUUCAGUUUAAUUUUGUCUUGCAAUUCCUCAAUUCUGUUAUAAUUCAUCUCCCUUAGCUCUGCUGCCUUCUCAUAUUCACGUUUAAGUUCUACCUGAAUCUCCUGCAGUAUUUCGCUAUAUUGUAUUGUAAAUUCUCCCACCACAGUCGUUUUUCAUUUUGAAACAAUGGACACUUCAUACUAUCCCUAAUUAAUAUUAAACAAAUCUUCUUUCAAAAAUGGAUUAUUAAAACACCACAGCCCUGGUCCUUUAUGCGACUUAUUAAACAGGACUUGAAAAGAGAAAGCAGCAUGAUCGCUGAAAGAGGUGAAUUUAUAACCAAUCUUCCCCAGGUAGCUAAGAAAGUUAACAUGACAUAUUCCAAAAUCUAUUCUGCUUUGGUUUAAUUCCUUUUGUACAAACUGUCUCCUGGAGAAAUCCCUCUUUAUCGAAUUUCGGCAUCUCCAGAAAUCAAUAUAAUUAUAAUUCUCCAAAUGCCUUGCCAACAAACUUCUGGAAUAAUCACCUUUGAAAACCAUUCCUGAUGCUAUGUCUAUAGUGCUCAUAGCUAUAUUGAAGUCUCCCACCAUAAUGACAUUGUCUGCUCCCAGGUGUCUCUCCAGGCCAGUAAAAAAAAAUUCAAAGCGCUCCUUUUGAUAAUUAGGAGCAUAAAUAUUGACCAAUUGUAAUAAAAUAAAAUAGGGCAGAUAAUUUCAAUUUCAGACAAUUAUUUUUAAAAUGAAUUUGCAUUUUUUAAAAUCUCCCUUAUGUAUCCUUCUCUAACAAAGAAACACUUUCCUUAAAAAUAUUAUUAACUAAUACAGCCACCCCUCUCCUAUGGUUGGACUAAUUACUAGUAUAAAUGUCCCCAUUCCAGAAAUGCUUAAAAUGAUGAAUAAAAGCAGUGUGGUGUAGUGGUUAGGGCUCUGGAUUCUUGACCGGAGGGUUGUGGGUUCAAUCCCCAGUGGAGGACACUGCUGUUGUACCCUUGAGCAAGGUACUUUACCUAGAUUGCUCCAGUAAAAACCCAACUGUAUAAAUGGGUAAUUGUAUGUAAAAAUAAUGUGAAAUAAUGUAAAAUGUGAUAUCUUGUAACAAUUGUAAGUCGCCCUGGAUAAGGGUGUCUGCUAAGAAAUAAAUAAUAAUAAUAAAAGCGUCAUCCCAAAAAGUUUCCUGCAGGCAGACAAUAUCAUUCUUAUUUACAUUAAUUAAAACUUUUUCAAGUUUAGCAAAAUGUCUUAACCCCACAUUAAGUGAUAAUAUUGAGAACAUUCCUGCAAAAAGAAGAAACAAUUCUUUCAAAAACUUGACCAUUAUGCUUCCUCUUCCUGCAGAACAUCAAACCCUUUUGUUUUUAAUCAUUUUUGCAAUCAUUGUUUUGCAAUUCAAUGUCCCAAUGUCUUUCUUUUUCCUCACACACCUGGAUGUGAUCAUAGCAAGGUUAGGUUUCUGAGAAUAUAUGUCAGUGGCUAGACAAAACAAGACAUGGAGACGCAAAACAAGUCUUCAGGGGUUAGUUUCCUUUUAAAACGAAUGAAUGUAUUCAAAUGCCACUACUGUUCAGUGCAAAAAUUCAUGCUAAACAAAUACUUGCAUCAUAUUGAAAAAUACCAUCAGCAUGAGGCAGACUUCAGUGUAUUAUUUGGUGUAAAUAGUUGACCAAAAACAUUUAAACUUGUUAAUUCAUUUAGACGCCGUCUUUCCAGAAAACAUACUUUUCAACAAAUGACACGCCAGUAAAUGAGAAUGAUUAUGACUUGCUGGACCUGCCAGAAGAGUCAGAUGAAAACCGCUCCUUGCACAUCUUGCUGGAGGAAAGAAAAGAAAAAAUGAAGCAGAUGAAAAUGUUGGAGGACCUGGAAAGAAAACACAUCACAUGCUGUUGCCAUCAGACGGGUCCCAUGAAGAUGGGCACAGUAUUGAAGCCCAUCUGAGGUUUUUGAUAGAGGAGUACCAGAAACCUCGACCAAAUAUUACCCAAAUGUUGGACAGAGCAGCCAGAACAGCCCAUCACCGCCAGCUCCUGCAGGACAUGAAGACGUUAUUUGGAGUUUAUGUGGAUAAAGAAUUACUUGGAGUGAAUGGUUUGGCAAGUCUGGAUGCAAAUAUCUUGAAAACAUCAAAGAAUGGUCCAUUGAAGGCAAUGAUGCUUGAAACUAUUGACCAGUGUCGACAUGAAGAGCAAAGAAAAGCUCCUCUGUGUUACCCUCUUUCACUCCCCCUCACCUCCUGUGUUAUCCUCUUUCACUCCCCUCUGCCUCCUCUGUGUCACCCUCUUUCAUCCCCCUGCCCUCCUCUGUGUCACCUCCUCUUUCACUCCCCCUCUACCUCCUCUAGCUACUUUUCCCCUCCCCCUCUCACUCUCCCUUUGCUCCCUGUCCCUCUCUCCUGUCCCCUCUUUCCCUCCCCCCUCUUCUCUUCCCCCUUUUUUCUCUCCCUCACUCCAAUCCUUUCUCUUCCUUUUCUCCUUAUUUGAUUUCACUCUUUUUUUUCAGGAACCUUGUGCACCUACACCCGUAAUUGUGCUGUGGACCAAAUAAAAAUCCACUUCAAGCAGAAUGGGUCUCUGUCCAUGUCGACAGGGAGGAGGUUAUGGAGGAUCAAAAUGGUAGCAUGGAUAUAACACAUGCUGUGAGCUGCUUUCUAGGUGUCCAUUUUGUUUACAGCCUAGAAUAUUGUAAAUAUAUUUAAAAUACUCUGUGUUUCAUGUAGAAUUAUCUUUGUCACAUACCAGGGCAACCAAAACUUUCAACAAUUUGUGUUCGUAUUUACAAUAUGCUGAAGUAAAAAUUUUAAAGGACACUGCAUUCAAAAUAGAAAAGGUCUCUAAAACAUCUUUAUCCAGAUGAGAUAAACGCUUGACUUUUUCACUAGAUCGGCACAAUGAUAAGCAUGUGUUAUAUAUAAAGAACAUAUGUGUAAUUAAUGAUGCUAAUAAUAUGGCUAUUUGUGUUUUUGUUACCUGUUUGAAUCUAGAAACUGCACUCAUUCUCUGCUGAUUUUUUUGUUUUAAUUGCGUCUUCAAUUUUAUUUAAAAUCUUAUAUGAGAUAUUCUUCUACAAUUGUCAAAUAAAUUGCUUGAAGAUAAUAUGGUUUGUAUGGUUUUCCUUUUAGGACAAUAGCAAAUACAUAAGUUUAU